AAAAAAGUUUUCUAGGGUUCCGCAACAGCAAGUUGGUCUGGUCCGAGAGAAAACUCACAGUAUUGCUGUGACACGGAGGGACAAAAGCCUGGGAGAA
Molecule: small RNA, 97 nt
Filed under: Gracilibacillus kekensis
Lineage: Bacteria; Bacillati; Bacillota; Bacilli; Caryophanales; Bacillaceae
Description: Guanidine-I sequence
Rfam family: Guanidine-I riboswitch aptamer
About the family: This family represents a conserved RNA structure found upstream of the ykkC and yxkD genes in Bacillus subtilis and related genes in other bacteria. The function of this family is unclear although it has been suggested that it may function to switch on efflux pumps and detoxification systems in response to harmful environmental molecules.
Source: Rfam by way of RNAcentral